CUCUGGGAGGCGGCUGAAACCCGGUGAGAAUUCGAGCGUGGCGCGGGUGGGCCAGCAGUGUUUGGGGACCCGGAGCACUCUCCACAGCUGCUGGUCCAGGUGCUAAGUCCCUCACUGCCCAGCACCUGCAGCGCCGACCGGCCGCUCUUGAGUGCGGGGCCUGCAGAGCCCACGCCCACCCGGAACUCGCGCUGGCCCGUGAGCGCCGUGCCGCAGCCCCGGUUCCCGCCCGCGCCUCUCCCUCCACACUUCGCCGCAAGCAGAGGGAGCCGGCUCCGGCCUCAGCUGGCCCAGAGAGGGGCUCCCUCAGUGCAGUGGCGAGCUGAAGGGCUCCUCAAGGGCGGCUGGAGUGGACGCUGAGGCCGAGGAGACGCCAAGAGCAAACGAGGGCUGCUAGUACAUUGUCACCUCUCACUGGUAACUACAGUUGCUGUCAGUUUAACUGUUGAUAUUCUGGAAGCAAGAUCUUGGAAGGCCAAGGACAGGUCAUUUCUUAGGACUGUGCAAAAGAGAAUCAGUCUUUACAGUAAGCUAUUUGAUUCUAGUAGUUCUUUCAUCUCAGUCUUUUGAAAGCAACUUCCCCUCUUUAACCAACACCUGCCAUGGCCUCUUCAUGAGCCGAAGAAGGAAAGACAGGACAGAUUCUUAUGACCUGAAACAGCACCUCAACUCUUACCUUGGAUAUUUCUACAUGAAGAAUCUGCUCUGAAACUAUAGCAAACAAUCACAGAGUGUUUGAGUGUGAGUCCAGACUGGUUCGGGAAGACCAAGAAGCAAUGAUGAUGUCUGUUUUUGUCAAAUGUCUGAAAACUAUUUUUAUUUUUCUAAAACUUUGUUCAGAAGUCUCAAUAUUGUAGUGUAUAGAGAUGUACACUAAUUUAGUGAUAUGAAGAUGAAGGGCUUUAAGCCUGUGUUCCUUGCAGGCAUCUCAGUACCUAGGAACUCCAAAGAACAAACUGUUGCUCGUGCAAAAUUAAAUUUCAUAAAACAGCAAAGAAUGGUGCCAGA
RNAcentral lists this long non-coding RNA (1008 nucleotides) under Homo sapiens (human). RNAcentral's name for it is "non-protein coding lnc-TMEM170B-2:6". Lineage: Eukaryota; Metazoa; Chordata; Mammalia; Primates; Hominidae. The record is from RNAcentral.